GACGAACGCUGGCGGCGUGCUUAACACAUGCGAGUCGAACGGAAAGGCCCUGCUUUUGUGGGGUGCUCGAGUGGCGAACGGGUGAGUAACACGUGAGUAACCUGCCCUUGACUUUGGGAUAACUUCAGGAAACUGGGGCUAAUACCGGGUAGGAGCUCCUGCUGCAUGGUGGGGGUUGGAAAGUUUCGGCGGUUGGGGAUGGACUCGCGGCUUAUCAGCUUGUUGGUGGGGUAGUGGCUUACCAAGGCUUUGACGGGUAGCCGGCCUGAGAGGGUGACCGGCCACAUUGGGACUGAGAUACGGCCCAGACUCCUACGGGAGGCAGCAGUGGGGAAUAUUGCACAAUGGGCGGAAGCCUGAUGCAGCAACGCCGCGUGCGGGAUGACGGCCUUCGGGUUGUAAACCGCUUUCGCCUGUGACGAAGCGUGAGUGACGGUAAUGGGUAAAGAAGCACCGGCUAACUACGUG
Molecule: ribosomal RNA, 468 nt
Filed under: uncultured bacterium
Lineage: Bacteria
Description: partial 16S ribosomal RNA
Rfam family: Bacterial small subunit ribosomal RNA
Source: RNAcentral